Molecule: ribosomal RNA, 397 nt
Filed under: Paravandellia oxyptera (Pantanal parasitic catfish)
Lineage: Eukaryota; Metazoa; Chordata; Actinopteri; Siluriformes; Trichomycteridae
Description: partial 12S ribosomal RNA
Rfam family: Bacterial small subunit ribosomal RNA
Source: RNAcentral
UACCCCACUAUGCUCAGCCCUAAACUAAGAGAGANUCAUCCGCCAGGGUACUACGAGCACAGCUUAAAACCCAAAGGACUUGGCGGUGCUUCAGAUCCCCCUAGAGGAGCCUGUUCUAUAACCGAUAAUCCCCGUUUAACCUUACCAUUUCUUGUUUAUUCCGCCUAUAUACCACCGUCGUCAGCUCACCCUGUGAAGGAUUUAAAGUAAGCACAAUGAAUAAAGCCCAAAACGUCAGGUCGAGGUGUAGCGUACGAAAUGGAAAGAAAUGGGCUACAUUUUCUAAUACAGAAUACUACGAACAGUACCCUGAAACAGGUACUUGAAGGAGGAUUUAGUAGUAAAAAGAAAGCAAUGUAUUCUUUUGAACUCGGCUCUGAAGCGCGCACACACCGCC